UGCCCGUCUAUAAUUUUAACUACAAAUGGU
RNAcentral lists this non-coding RNA (30 nucleotides) under Mus musculus (house mouse). The record is from RNAcentral. Lineage: Eukaryota; Metazoa; Chordata; Mammalia; Rodentia; Muridae.